UCCCCUUUUUUUGGUGUGUGUCUGUUUUUUAGAGUCAGGAAAACCUUGCGGCUGGAUUCAAACUUUUUGGGGGUCAGAGAGAGACUGUAACCUUUCUCUCUGAGAGAGAGAGUAGAACCUUGCUUUCAAAGAGAGAGAGAGAGAGAGAGAGAGAGGAGAGAGAGAUGGAGCAGUUGCAGAGAUUGUAGAAAGCCUUAGGGCCUGGUACAAUUAGGAACCAUGUCUUCUGUGUACAUUUUGGAGCCACCAACGAGGGGGAAGGUGGUGAUGAACACGACCAUGGGACCCCUUGACAUAGAGCUUUGGCCUAAAGAAGCUCCCAAAGCCGUGAGGAAUUUUGUUCAGCUCUCCUUAGAAGGCUAUUACGAGAACACUAUCUUCCAUCGAAUCAUUAAAUCCUUUAUGGUUCAGGGUGGCGACCCAGCUGGUUCUGGCACAGGUGGCGAAAGCAUUUAUGGGGGAAAGUUUGCAGAUGAGUUUCACUCCCGACUAAGAUUCAACCACAGGGGCUUGGUUGCAUGUGCAAAUGCUGGAUCAUCUCACACAAACGGAAGCCAAUUUUUCAUUUCUUUGGACCGUUGCGACUGGCUUAAUAACAAGAACACCAUUUUCGGCAAGGUCACUGGAGACUCAAUAUAUAAUCUGUUGAGGUUAGAGGAUGUAGAGACUGGUGAGAAUGAUAGGCCAUUAGAUCCACCUCCCAGGAUCAUCUCUAUUGAGGUACUAUGGAAUCCCUUUGAUGAUAUUAUUCCUAGACAACCCCAACACAAGGCCAUUCCAAAUGAUGUUGAAAGCAAGGAUCAAAAGAAGAAAGCCAUAAAGAAGCUGAACUUGCUGUCUUUUGGAGCAGAAGCAGAAGAGGAGGAGAAAGAGUCGGCAGUUGUGAAGGAAAAGAUCAAGAGUAGUCAUGACGUACUUGAUGACCCUCGUCUCCUCAAAGAAAAGCCACAAUCUAUUGAAGAGAGCUCAUCAGAAGCCAAGAGAAAAAAGGACGUUCAAGCUUCAGUGAGGGAAGCUUUGAGCUCAAAGAGAGAUGAUACAGGUGUCUCAGCAGAAAAUAGAUCAGCUGCUCUUCCUGACCUGAGUGAUGAUGAUGAGGCCAGCUUUGAUGCUCGAAUGCGUCUACAAAUUCUUAAUAAAAGGAAAGAGAUGGGGGAAGUAAGAGGUCUUGAAAAUUUCAGUAGAGACAAAAAAAAUUCUAAAGAGAAAGAAAUUGCUUCUCCAAGGGAUGAUAGUGAUGAUGAUUUGAAGGAACAAAAUAGGAAGAGUAAACUCUCUUUGAAACAUAAAGGAAUAGGAUCAGAAGCCAGGAAGGAACGCGAAGCUCAAGCAGAUGUUGAUUUGCAGCUUCUGAGCCAUGCUGAGCAGGAAAGGCAGAAGCAGAAGCAAAAAAAGCGCAGGCUUCAGGGCCAUGGAGAACAAGUACGAAAAGCACAAGGAAAAAACACUGGCAAAGCUGGAGAAGUUCAGAAGUUCCUUCUUUUCUGCAAAGUUGGGUACUGCUACAAACAAACCUGAGAAUGAGGGUAAUGAGGACGAAGAUCUAUCUGAUUGGAGAUCUCAUAAGCUAAAAUGCAUGCCUGACCCUUCUAACAAGGACGCAAUGGCUCGGAAAGAUGACUCUGACAUGUAUGUGGUUGAAGAUCCUCUUCUUGAGAAGGGUAAACAGAAAUUCAACAGGAUGCAAGCAAAGAUGAAGCGGCGCGAGCGUGAAUGGGCUGGGAAAUCAAUAACUUGAUUCAUUCCCCUGUUAUGUACGUCACUGCUACAUAUUCUUUCAAGCAUUGAAACCAGUUUUUCUCUCAGGUAUAUUCAAAGCAAUUCUCAACUGGGAAUGCGCAUUUCAAAUUUUCCGCUGUGUAUCACUCUAUGCCAUUCUGUAGGUGACGGAUCCAAAAUAAUCACCAUUCACAUGCUGGAGUGCGUUUAACAGAGUGGAGAAUACUAGUUUAUAGAAGAGGAUUUCAUGUCUCGAUAGAGAGAUACUUUACUCUAGCAUCUGAAAAAAUAGGUAAUCAUCAUUCAGUGCAAAGUCGUUGCCAUCAAGCAAAGGGACUUGCUUUAAUCACCUCUGGUGAUUCUCAAUGAUAGCAAUUGAAGUUUAGUCACAGGUUUCUGUAAAUUUGUACAAUAUGAUUUGGAGAAGGUUGGGUUGCGCACAUAACUCCAGCAUUGAUUGUUUGGGUCAUAGAUGGAAAAGACUCUGUUCUUGGCAGAAGAAGCAAGCCCCCCCAACCUUGUCAGGUUCUUUAAUCAAAGAGCCUAUAGAGGCGCCCGUUGUGUUGAAGUUGAUCA
Molecule: RNA transcript, 2295 nt
Organism: Amborella trichopoda
Lineage: Eukaryota; Viridiplantae; Streptophyta; Magnoliopsida; Amborellales; Amborellaceae
Gene name: Cyclophilin-like peptidyl-prolyl cis-trans isomerase family protein
Source: RefSeq, a predicted model, not a curated record